This 277-nucleotide ribosomal RNA is filed under the name uncultured Erysipelotrichaceae bacterium. RNAcentral's name for it is "partial 16S ribosomal RNA". It matches the Rfam family "Bacterial small subunit ribosomal RNA", at positions 511 to 788 of the family's 1533-position model. The record is from RNAcentral. Lineage: Bacteria; Bacillati; Bacillota; Erysipelotrichia; Erysipelotrichales; Erysipelotrichaceae.
GCAGCCGCGGUAAUACGUAGGUCCCAAGCGUUAUCCGGAAUUAUUGGGCGUAAAGAGUGAGUAGGUGGUUUCUUAAGUCUGGAGUUAAAGGCAGUAGCUCAACUAUUGUACGCUUUGGAAACUGGGAGACUAGAGUGCGGGAGAGGUAAAUGGAACUCCAUGUGUAGCGGUAAAAUGCGUAGAUAUAUGGAAGAACACCAGUGGCGAAGGCGAUUUACUAGACCGAUACUGACACUGAGUCACGAAAGCGUGGGUAGCAAAUAGGAUUAGAUACCCC